CCUGCAGCUGCGCCGCCGGCUUCCGCGGAGCCAAUUGCGACGAGCGGUUAGAUCCGUGCGAGUCGAACCCGUGCGGGUACGACGAGGGGCUAUUGUGCGACGUCGGCCCCGACGGCGGCCACGUGUGCCGAUGUUUGUUCGGCGGCGACCCCGACUCGAACGGAAACACGUGCAACAACGAUGUGAACGUCGUCCAGGAGACCUGGUCCCCGCAGUUCAAUGGCACGAGUUACGUCGAGCUGCCGCCCCUCGAAGGGUUGGGGAAGGCGUUCCGAAUCGAAAUUUGGUUUUUAACGAACCGAUUCUCUGGAAUGCUCCUCUACACCGGCCAGUCCAAUAAAGCGAGGGGCGACUUUAUAGCGAUUAACUUAGUUAAUGGAUACCUCCAGUUUAGGUACAAUUUGGGAAGCGGAAUCGCCAAUAUAACGGCGCCGGCGCCGGUGACGAAGGGGCGCUGGCACCGCGUGCGGGCGAC
This 475-nucleotide unclassified non-coding RNA is filed under the name Melitaea cinxia (Glanville fritillary). Its description in RNAcentral is "misc RNA ENSMCXG00005010253.1". Lineage: Eukaryota; Metazoa; Arthropoda; Insecta; Lepidoptera; Nymphalidae. The record is from RNAcentral.